RNAcentral lists this ribosomal RNA (375 nucleotides) under uncultured organism. RNAcentral's name for it is "bacterial SSU rRNA". It matches the Rfam family "Bacterial small subunit ribosomal RNA", at positions 526 to 896 of the family's 1533-position model. The record is from RNAcentral.
CGGGGGGAGCAAGCGUUGUUCGGAUUUACUGGGCGUAAAGGGCGCGUAGGCGGCCACCGCAAGUCAGUUGCGAAAUCUCUGGGCUUAACCCAGAAAGGUCAACUGAUACUGCGGGGCUAGAGUGCAGAAGGGGCAACUGGAAUUCUCGGUGUAGCGGUGAAAUGCGUAGAUAUCGAGAGGAACACCUGCGGCGAAGGCGGGUUGCUGGGCUGACACUGACGCUGAGGCGCGAAAGCUAGGGGAGCGAACGGGGAUUAGAUACCCCGGUAGUCCUAGCCUUAAACGAUGAAUGCUUGGUGUCUGGGGUUUUAUAGUCCCCGGGUGCCGUCGCUAACGCUUUAGGCAUUCCGCCUGGGGAGUACGGUCGCAAGACUG